Molecule: transfer RNA, 74 nt
Filed under: Candidatus Amesbacteria bacterium RIFCSPHIGHO2_01_FULL_48_32
Lineage: Bacteria; Candidatus Amesiibacteriota
Also listed under: 2 other names
Description: tRNA-Gln
Rfam family: tRNA
About the family: Transfer RNA (tRNA) molecules are approximately 80 nucleotides in length.
Source: RNAcentral
UGCGGGGUCGGCUAAUGGUAGGCCAGCAGACUUUGGAUCUGUUUAUCUUGGUCCGAAUCCAAGCCCCGCAGCCA